This 453-nucleotide ribosomal RNA is filed under the name Heteropoda renibulbis. Its description in RNAcentral is "partial 16S ribosomal RNA". It matches the Rfam family "Bacterial large subunit ribosomal RNA", at positions 1809 to 2605 of the family's 2925-position model. The record is from RNAcentral. Lineage: Eukaryota; Metazoa; Arthropoda; Arachnida; Araneae; Sparassidae.
AAAAACAUAUYUGAUAGAUAUAAUUAUUAGUAUAACCUGCUCAAUGAACAUUCAAUAGCCGCAGUAUAUCUGUGCUAAGGUAGCAUAAUCAUUUGUCUUUUAAUUAAAGACUAGAAUGAAAGGUUAAACAUUUAAUUCAUUAUUAUAAAACUCUUCUUUAAAUUUUUUUAAAUGUAAAAAAACAUUUAUAAAUAAGAAAGACGACAAGACCCUAUUAAACUUUACUUAAGUUUAACUGGGGUAGUUAAAUAAAAAAAUUUUAUUUAAUUUUAUUAAACAAAAUGACCUAAUCUAAUUAAAUAUUAAUCAAGUUACUAUAGGGAUAACAGCGUAAUAACUUUUUAAAGAUCUUAUAUAAAAAUAUGAUUACGACCUCGAUGUUGAAUUAAUUUUACUAUUACACGCAAAAGUGUAAGUAGAAAGUCUGUUCGACUUUUAAAAAAUUACAUGAUC